Molecule: long non-coding RNA, 8198 nt
Filed under: Nicotiana tabacum (common tobacco)
Lineage: Eukaryota; Viridiplantae; Streptophyta; Magnoliopsida; Solanales; Solanaceae
Description: long non-coding RNA (NTAB_LNC002648)
Source: RNAcentral
UAACUUACAAACAAAUUCAGACCAAGAAAUGAUACACAAAUUCUAGAAUCUCUCCAUCAUUCAAGUUGGGCAUACCAGAUACCCUGGAUUUUCACAUCCUUGGGGACCUUUGCACCGAGAUCAGUAUCAGAUGGCUGGAUGCUCUCAAAUACUCCAAUGACCUCACCGGUCUCUGGCUUGCACUGGGUAACACUCAGGGUGAUCUUUCCUGUAGAAGAUGCAGUAUUCUUUACGUUCUCCUUCUCAAGCUCCUCCUCGUCUCCUCUCCCUCCAGCAGGCAAUGCAACAGCGUUGUCAUAGCCAGUAGAUCCACCCCGUCCCUUUGGGUCAAGGAAGGAUGAACCUCUGUAUGAUGGCACAAGGAAUUCACCGCUAAAGCUUUCUGGUUUGCCGCUUGCCACUAGCUGUUUGAUAGUGAAGAGGAAGGGCACACGCUCACCACCAGGAAGCUGAACUGUAACAGCAGCAUAAUCAAUUCCAUCCUUCUCCUCAAACUUAACAGUGCCAUCAGAAGACACUUCGAAUGGUCCCUCAAUCUCAUCAAGGGUGUAGGUUAAGCGUGUCAUGAGCUUGGUUUUCUGGAAAUCUGGGGGUGCAUUCUUGUUCACACUCUCUGCCUUGACUGUGAAUGAUGUGGGCUCUAAGCAGAAUUUCUUGGCAUUGUAUUUGCCUGGCUUGAAGGCAAAGCUGGCAACACCUCCUUCUAUCGUAGGGCACUGGUUAGCAGUUCCAGUUCCCUUUACUUCCAUGUAUGUCUUGCUUUGAAUUUCGUCGAAGGUUAGACGUUUUGGAACUCCUUCAGCAUUUGCUCCCUAGCAGCCAAGUGGACAAACUUCAGGAAUUUUUGCAUGAGAAACAAGAUUUUCAAAUUUAAUUAAGACAGAAUCCCUAAAACAGUUUAUCCUUACAGAAACAUGGAUGCUUGUCCUGAAAUACAGAUGACUACAUGAAUGUCCAGAAAUGAACAAUGGAAAUUUUGACGAGAUUGGAUGAUUGGAUAUAGACUGAUCUUACUAUUGGAGGUGCUAUUGUGUGUAUAUAUUGGGUGACAAUGGUAAAGAAGCCCUCUAAAGUAUUUCUAUGUAUCCUCAAGCACCUGAUUUAGAUAUUUGGAAAAGAAUAUAAGGCCUACAAGCUCGAAGAAUGUUACCUGCUUUUAGAAUCAUCGGUAUGCCAUACUGGUAAGGUAGCAUUCAUCUCUGAUCCAGCUGUAGUGUUCCUUAUGAUCUUAAACUCAGGUGAUUGGUUUUACACCAACGGAAACCAUAAACUUCAUACACAAUAGAGGGAUAUGAUAGAGUUUUUUUUUUUCUUUAUUUUUUUUAAUAAUGAAUGGAAUUCCUUCUUUCAUUCUAUCCCAUUCACCGGUACUAAUCACUAAGUGUAAAAGUGGCUUUCUUGCUUUUGUGCCUACUCAUGAUCUAAACAAGUCGCACAUACACCCAAGUACAUGUUCCUUAACGCUGAGGGCAACCCCCCCACCCCCCCCCAUAGAGCAGGGGAUCUCGUGACAUCUUUCAUUGGUUGUUUGUAUUUCUAAUAAGUUAUUUAAUAGCUGGCAUGUUGAAUCAUAUACAUAAUGUGAUGAAUUUGCUUAGAUUGAUCCUAACGGAAUGAUGAUGAGAAACUGCUAAUUUGUUUUUGUCUGGUGACUAGAGCCUUCAUGCAAUACCUAAAUUGUGCUGUCUGAAUUUAUGACUUUAUUAUGCGGGAAAAAGCACUGGAUAUAUGGGAAAUAUGGACAUGAAGCAGGCAGAAUUGAGUAAGAAAAGCAACUUACUGAGACGACAAGGGCAGAAGUGGCCAGAGCAAAACCAGCAACCUUGGCAGCAUCAGUGCACUUUUGAGCCAAGUCCUUGAGUUCAGUUUGCAAAGAGCAAGUAAGCCUAGCUGCAGCUGGUUCAACACCAAAUGCUUUGCUCACACUUUGAGCAGACCUCAACUGCAGGUUGUUUCUAGCUGGGGCAACACCAACCUUUGUUGGUUGCAUUAGAGUAGCAGCUGCUUGUAGAGAGGCAGCCAUAAUUUUACCCUUUUCUUGAUCAGUCUUCUUCUCCUCUCUGUUUCUGCUUUUUAGGAAGUGGUUGAGUGGCAGUAAGAAGUGGUUUGUAUGAGAGGCUGGACAAAUUAUUUUGGUGGCUUUGCUGUGAGUAAGAUAAGAGAUAGGAUAAGGGCUAUUUUUCAUUGGUUGGUUUGAGCAUUAGCCUAUUAUUUGGUGGCCUGCAACGUGGCAAAGUUAGUAUUUAGGAUAAAGAUACUCCCUUUUGUAAUCUUGCCAGGAAAUUAGUGGACUACCGCGUCUUGCCUUAUUUGAAGGUAAAAAUGUAAAAUAUUUAUUGACACUCGACAUUUUACAUUUACACCAUAUCAUGUCUUUUACGUACUAUUUUAUCCUCUUAGCCAAUGUUAAUUAAUGUCACCUCGAUUUAUCACUUAAGCUAGUAGAUUCAUUCCUAGAAUCCCGUCACUAUAGACUGUGUGUUUUGGUAUAAACAUUGUGUGUUUGAGAAUUAGCUUGAUAAAUUAUACGUUAUACCAAUAUGGGAAGAAUACCCUUAUGAAAAGGUGAAAUAAAGAAAAUCAACUACCAGGCCUCUUUGUUUUUGUUCAGGUUUGGGAAAAAGAUUUAAAAGGUUUUAAACGAUUCUUUUUGGUUUUUAAAGUAAUUUUUAUUUCUAAAAAUUAAUCCAAAAGCCUUUUUGAAAAAAACAGAAGUAACUCAAAAAAAAAAAAGGGGUGAAGAAAAAGACAAUUAGGAAUUUUAAUCAUUUAUUUGAUCCUUGUACUAUUAGAGCGACUAUGGACUUGUAUAAUAAAGCCAAGAUCCGAGUGAGAAUAGUGAGAGGAGACUUAGAACAUUUUCUAGUCGAGAUGGGGUUGCGUCAGGGAUCAUCUCUUAGCCCGUUUAAUUUGCUUUGGUGAUCGAAAAAUUAACAUGACAUAUUCAAGGGGAGGUACCAUGGUGUAUAUUUUUUUUAUAGAUGACAUAGUCUUAAUUGACAAGAAAAGAGUCUAAAGGUUUCAGGUUGAGCAGGACUAAAACGGAGUAUAUGGAGUGUGAAUUCAGUGAUGAAUCACAUGAGGCGGAUGUAGAAGUAAGAAGCGGUACACAGGUUAUCCCCAAGAGAUGAAGCUUCAAAUAUCUUGGGUCAAUAAUCCAAAGAAACCAGGAGAUCGACGAUGAUGUCAUAAAUCGUAUUGGAGUGGGAUGGAUGAAAUAGAGGCUCACAAGCAGUGUCCUAUGUGAAUGUGCCAACAAGAUUUAAAGUAAGUUCUAUAGAGUAGUUGCUAGACCAAUUAUAUUGUAUGGGACAAAAAGUUGACCAUUCAAGAACUCACACGUUUAGAAGAUAAAAGUAGUGUAAAUGAUGUUGCUUAGAUGGAUGUGUGGGCAUACUAGGAGAGAUAAGAUAAACGAAGAUAUACGAGACAAGGUGGAGUAACCUUCAUAGUGGACAAGAUGCGGGAAGUGAGAUUGAAAUGGUUCAGGCAUGAGAAGAGGAGGAGCACCACCCUUGUGAUUAACUAUCAACUAAAUUAAACCAAAUAAUUAAUCUAUUCAAGCGAUUUUCUAGAGUGUGACUUCUAAAGUGUGAUUAAUUAACUACAACUAAUCUAGAGUAGCAAACAAAGAGAUUAAAGGAACAAGUUGGUGAAAUUAGACACAAAUUCAAUGUGAGUGAAUAUUCUAGAGCUAUGAGUUCGCUAAAAAUCCCGUUGAGUUUUCCACUUAAAUCGUCUAAUUAAUUUAUCUAGUUUAUUAGUUGACAGAGUUAAUAUUUCUUGUAGCCUUCUCCCGAAGUACAACUCGCCUAUUCAAGCUAACCUAACGCCUAUAUUCCUAUGGAAUUAGGAUUAACAAGAACGCAUUUAUAAUUUUCGCAUAAUAACUAAGCAAGGCGAUUAGGUAUAUUCCUAUCAUAACCGCAAAUUCUCCCCUCCCCCCCUCCCCCCACCCCAGAGUUAAGAUCUUGCUCUACUCAAUCUUAUAUACAAUCUAGAAUUCCCUCUCCCGAGUUCAAUCCUAGAUUCGUAGAUAGUAUUCAAUUGGUGAUCAAGUAAUCAAAUAAUUAAGCGCAAGAUUGAAUAAAUAAAUCAAUAUGAUAAUAUAAUAAGAACAAUUCAAGUUUCAAACUACAACGUUCAUGUAGCACCCAACAACUCUAGAACUAAUAAACUAUAAAAUUAAAAGAAGAAAAGAGAAGAAAAACUAGUUAAAAGCCUCCUCCAAGCGUGGAGUGUGUUCCUCCACGUGAAUUCUUCUUCAAAGUAUGUUCUAUCCCCUUCAAAAUAUGUUAGAUAUCCCUCAAAAUAGGUUUAGAACUCCUUUUAUAUGAGUUAGCGGGGUCUUGGACCGAAAUAACCUUAUCCCGGGCGAAUUUGGACAAAAUUCACGUCACCAACGCCCAGCCCAGCACCUGGCGCUGUCCCUAGCGCUGGUUUAUUAAGUCUUCUGUCUCUGGCGCCACAGGUAGGGCUAGGCGCUGCUUGUGGCACUGCAAAUUUCAGUUUUCCUAUUUUCGUCCGUUUUGGCUCUAAUUUCGCACAUUUCGCCCACAAUUGCUCCCGAAUCAUUCCUACACAUAAAAAAAUCUCAAAUUAAUAUAAAUCAACACAUUUUACAUCCUAAAUCCAAGAAACAAAAGUAAAACAUGAGGCGAUAUACAUAUAAAUAUAUAUACUUUAAGCUAACAUCAAGCAAAGAUGCCCCAAUGAGCAGGUGUGAGGGGUUGGCAGUGUUAGGUCUAAGGAGAGGUAGAGAUAAACCAAGAAGAAUUGGGGAGAAGUGAUUAGACAGCACAUGACACAUCUUCAGCUCAUUGAAUACAUGUUCCUAGAUAGGAGAAUAUAGAAGUCGAGAAUUAGGGUAGAAGAUAAGUAAGUAGUCGAGCGAUUUCUCUCUUUUCUGUGGAGAGCAUGAUUCUGGUAUUGAGCAUCCUAUCUUCUCCUUCUUCUCCUUCUUCUCUUAAUAAAUAUCAUUAUUAUAUUUCUAUUAUUAUUUGAUUCUUCAAUUUUUUAUUUUAUUAUUAUUAUUAUUAUUAUUAUUAUUAUUUCCUUUAGAUAUUAUAUUUACUCUUUUUGCUAUCAAUAUAUUUUUUUAUGUAUUAGUAUUUUCAUCAUAACUUUUAAAUUCUUCUAUUUUUCAGAUCUGUUUUGAAAAUAUUUUUCUUGAGCCGAGGAUCUAUUGAAAACAACUUCUUUACCUCACAUAAGUUAAAGGUAAGGUUCAUGUACACUGAUAGGUUACAAAUACUUUGGUCAUAAGUACUUUACUUUAUGUUUUGAUGAUCUAACAAACUUACUAUCCAGAACCAGAUAAGGAACCUGUUACACAUUUACAAGACCUUAAGAUCACAAGGUUCCAGGUUGAGAUCCAGCGUGGAAUAUGAUUCAACUCUUCAGAGUGAAAGGAACAGCUGAGGAAACAGGUCCCUACUAGUUCCCGAGGAGACUGUACGAAGUCAACUAUCCAGCUCCAAAGUUGUUGCCUGCACACGCUACAGUGCAGGAACAGUGCUGCAGUCAACUUUUCACGGAAUACUUUUUACCUAACUUUCUUACAUAAUUGUAAGUGAGGCCACUCAUGUAUAUAUACAAUCAAGGAAAGGUAAAACACAUUCACUUGAACUUUUCAGAAGCUCAUUCACGUGACUAUCCAGUAAGAAAGUUUCAAGUGCGUCAAGAACAAAGAACAAAACAACUAUGGACCAGUUCCCACAUUGAGUUAUUGUAUGUUAGUUGAGUUGUAACUUUGUAAUAGUUUUUCAAUUGUAAUUCCUAUCUAGCUUAUUUAGAAGUAUUCUAUAGGAACCCCUUUGUAAACCUUAAACCAGUACGUUUGAGUCCUGGCUAGAGUUAAUCAUGUUGUAAAGUCUUUGUAAUAGAGUUAUUACAAAGUGGCUUGUAAUAGUGUAUUACAAGUUAAGGAAGGAUUAAGAGGUUAAUUCCUAGGUUGCAUAGGUUGUAAUCUAAAAGAUGCUCAGUAGUGAAAUUGAAAUCCUACAAGGGUAGGUCACGGUUUUUAAUCCCGUUGAGCUGGAAAUUCUUCACAUAAAAUUUCUCUUGCCAUUUAAUUAUUGUUGUGUGUGUGUACUAUUCUCUAUAGAGAUUGGUGGACCCUUAUAUUCUAUUUAUUGGUAUCAGAGCAGGUUCUUUCUAUCAGGUUAACACCUAGAAAGGAUACACAUGGCUGCUCUUCCAAACUUCGAAGAAGGCCAGUCUACUUACAGACCACCUACGUUCAAUAGACAGUAUUAUAGAUGGUGAAAAACUAGAAUGCAUGGCUUCAUCAUGGCUGAAUAUUUUGAGUUAUGGGAUGUUAUAUGUGAUGGACCUUUUGUCCCUACCAAAAACCUUGGCGACCCACCUAUGAUGCAAAUAGAAAGGCCAUAGAGAAGAACUUUCUUGCAAAAAAAAUCUGGUGUGUGGUAUUGGUGCUGAUGAAUACAAUAGGAUAUCAGCAUGUCAAUCAGCCAAAGAAAUCUGGGAAGCCCUUCAGACAGCUCACGAAGGAACAACACAGGUCAAGCAAUCCAAAAUCGACAUGUUCACAACUGAAUACGAGCUCUUCAAGAUGCAAGACGAUGAAUCUGUCCAAGAAAUAUAUACUCGGUUCACCUCUAUCAUUAUUGAGCUUCACUCCUUUGGUGAAACUAUUCCAAAAAACAAGUUGGUUAGAAAAAUCCUCAGUGUGUUGCACAUUUCUUGGGAAAGCAAAGUGAACGCCAUUACAGAGGCGAAGGACUUGCAGGAGCUAACUAUUAAUGAGAUUGUUGGCAAUCUAAAAACAUAUGAAAUGAAGAAGAAGAAGGACAGUGAAAUAAGAAAGCCCGAGAGAGAGAGAGAGAGAGAGAGAAGAACAUGGUCCUCAAGACAGAAAAUAAUGACUCAAGUGGUGAGGAUGGUGAUAUGGCAUACCUAACAAGAAGAUUUCAGAAGAUGGUUCGCAGGAAUGGAGGCAUUCCAAAAAGGGGAAGUUCUAGCAAGCCAAAGAGUUAUGACAUAUGUCAUAAAUGUGGCAAGCCAGGAUAUUUCAUCAAGGAUUGCCCUCUCCUAAAGCAGGCUCAGUACAAGAACAACUCUGAUAAAGCAGCCAAAAGGAACCCGAUUCCUGAUAGACGCUUCAAUAGAAAAAAUGUUACUGACAAUAUCGUAAGACAAGCUCUUGCUGCAUGGGCAGAUUCAUCAAGUGAAUAUGGGGAAGAUGAUGAACCAAGUAACAACUCUAUGAUCGUAGUAAAGAGUGAAGCAACUGAGUAUGAUUCAAUUGCUUUGAUGGCCCAGUCUGAUGAUGAAGAUGACGAUGACAAUGAGGUAAAUUUUCAGGAUGUUCAGAGAAAUCUGAAAUCUUAUUCUCCUAAGAAACUCAUGUCUUUGAAAAAUGUGCUAAUCGACGAUUAUUACAGUCUUAUAAAUGACAAAUAUGUCUUAACAGUUGAACUAGAAGAAGCAGAACAAUCUAGAGAUGACCUAGUAAUAGUUGCACUUGAUUUAAGAGAGUCAUUUGAGAACCUGAAGAAAGAAAGAAAUGUCUUAGAUAAAAAGAUCGCAAAUGUAGAACAAGAAAGAGAUGACCUUCUAGUGGUAGUAAUGGAUUUGAAGGAAAUAAUUGGGAAACCUAAAAUGGAGAGUAGGGCUAAAAAUUGUCAAAAAGGAAAGAAAGUUGCAAGCGAGGCACACAUUAAGCUUGAAAGUGAGCUAAAUUCAGUGAAGAUUAGUCUGUGUGUUGAGCUUGAGAAAAACAAACAAUUUUAGGAAGAACUAAGUAGAGUGAAGAGUGAUCUUGAAAAAUCACUCAAGUGGACUUGGUCCUCUGAUGCUAUCACUGCCAUGUACACGAGCAUUGGGGGAAGUAGGUAGGGGAUUGGGUUUCAAAGGAAAAAGAUUCCCUACAACCCUCAUAGCAAGUAUGUUAUUGUACCUGAUAAUUGGCUUUGCACCCACUGCGGUAACAAUGGGCACCUUAAAGAAAACUGUAAGGCUAGAUUUCAGUCACAAUAGAAAAACAAAUCCUUUGCUGAAAAGUUAACUACCAGUAGAGAACCUGGUCCCUCAUUUAAAAAACCCAUAAUGCCUGCAUGGACCAAAAGAUCUUUGAUUCACCCCUUUCCUCAUUACAAGGGACCCAAAUUAGUUUGGAUUCCUAAAGCUAACUCCUAACUCUUCUUGUGCAGGCAACAGUGAAAGGAAGCAGCAUA